Molecule: ribosomal RNA, 493 nt
Filed under: Microbacterium sp. HCUPPB7
Lineage: Bacteria; Bacillati; Actinomycetota; Actinomycetes; Micrococcales; Microbacteriaceae
Description: bacterial SSU rRNA
Rfam family: Bacterial small subunit ribosomal RNA
Source: RNAcentral
GGGCGGAAGCCUGAUGCAGCAACGCCGCGUGAGGGAUGACGGCCUUCGGGUUGUAAACCUCUUUUAGCAGGGAAGAAGCGAAAGUGACGGUACCUGCAGAAAAAGCGCCGGCUAACUACGUGCCAGCAGCCGCGGUAAUACGUAGGGCGCAAGCGUUAUCCGGAAUUAUUGGGCGUAAAGAGCUCGUAGGCGGUUUGUCGCGUCUGCUGUGAAAUCCCGAGGCUCAACCUCGGGCCUGCAGUGGGUACGGGCAGACUAGAGUGCGGUAGGGGAGAUUGGAAUUCCUGGUGUAGCGGUGGAAUGCGCAGAUAUCAGGAGGAACACCGAUGGCGAAGGCAGAUCUCUGGGCCGUAACUGACGCUGAGGAGCGAAAGGGUGGGGAGCAAACAGGCUUAGAUACCCUGGUAGUCCACCCCGUAAACGUUGGGAACUAGUUGUGGGGUCCAUUCCACGGAUUCCGUGACGCAGCUAACGCAUUAAGUUCCCCGCCUGG